GACGUAGGGGGCCAGCGUUGUUCGGAAUUACUGGGCGUAAAGCGCGUGUAGGCUGUUCGGAAAGUCGGGUGUGAAAGCCCUGGGCUCAACCUAGGAAGUGCACUCGAAACUCCCGAACUGGAGUCCCGGAGAGGAAGGUGGAAUUCUCGGUGUAGAGGUGAAAUUCGUAGAUAUCGAGAGGAACAUCGGUGGCGAAGGCGGCCUUCUGGACGGUGACUGACGCUGAGACGCGAAAGCGUGGGGAGCAAACAGG
RNAcentral lists this ribosomal RNA (253 nucleotides) under uncultured bacterium. RNAcentral describes it as "partial 16S ribosomal RNA". It matches the Rfam family "Bacterial small subunit ribosomal RNA", at positions 524 to 776 of the family's 1533-position model. The record is from RNAcentral.